This 24-nucleotide non-coding RNA is filed under the name Mus musculus (house mouse). Lineage: Eukaryota; Metazoa; Chordata; Mammalia; Rodentia; Muridae. The record is from RNAcentral.
UGCUUUAGGCUCUGUGACAUCCAC